UGGGAACGCGAAGAACCUUACCAGGUCUUGACAUCCUUUGACAAUCCUAGAGAUAGGACUUUCCCUUCGGGGACAAAGUGACAGGUGGUGCAUGGUUGUCGUCAGCUCGUGUCGUGAGAUGUUGGGUUAAGUCCCGCAACGAGCGCAACCCCUAUUGUUAGUUGCCAGCAUUCAGUUGGGCACUCUAAUGAGACUGCCGGUGACAAACCGGAGGAAGGUGGGGAUGACGUCAAAUCAUCAUGCCCCUUAUGACCUGGGCUACACACGUGCUACAAUGGAUGGUACAACGAGCAGCAAGACCGCGAGGUCAGGCGAAUCUCUUAAAGCCAUUCUCAGUUCGGAUUGCAGGCUGCAACUCGCCUGCAUGAAGCCGGAAUCGCUAGUAAUCGCGAAUCAGAAUGUCGCGGUGAAUACGUUCCCGGGUCUUGUACACACCG
This 437-nucleotide ribosomal RNA is filed under the name uncultured bacterium. Its description in RNAcentral is "bacterial SSU rRNA". It matches the Rfam family "Bacterial small subunit ribosomal RNA", at positions 954 to 1392 of the family's 1533-position model. The record is from RNAcentral.